Transfer RNA from Ovis aries (sheep), 73 nucleotides. It matches the Rfam family "tRNA". Rfam says of the family: Transfer RNA (tRNA) molecules are approximately 80 nucleotides in length. Their secondary structure includes four short double-helical elements and three loops (D, anti-codon, and T loops). The record is from Rfam. NCBI's taxonomy places the organism in Eukaryota, Metazoa, Chordata, Mammalia, Artiodactyla, Bovidae.
UCCCUGGUGGUCCAGUGGCUAAGACUCUGCACUCCCAAUGUGGAGGGCUUGGUAUCAAUCCCUGGUCAGGGAA